RNAcentral lists this ribosomal RNA (160 nucleotides) under uncultured bacterium. RNAcentral's name for it is "partial 16S ribosomal RNA". It matches the Rfam family "Bacterial small subunit ribosomal RNA", at positions 355 to 507 of the family's 1533-position model. RNAcentral also lists the same sequence under 1 other name. The record is from RNAcentral.
UAGGGAAUCUUCCGCAAUGGACGAAAGUCUGACGGAGCAACGCCGCGUGAGUGAAGAAGGUUUUCGGAUCGUAAAACUCUGUUGUCAGAGAAGAACAAGUUGGAGAGUAACUGCUCCAGCCUUGACGGUAUCUGACCAGAAAGCCACGGCUAACUACGUG